UGUGAAUUGCAGAAUUCAGUGAAUCAUCGAAUCUUUGAACGCACAUUGCGUCCCUUGGUAUUCCGGGGGGCAAGCCAGUUCGAGCGUCAUUACAACCCUCAAUCUCUGCUUUUUUUUAGGCACCGUCCUUUACGGGCGCGCCUCAAAGAGCUC
RNAcentral lists this ribosomal RNA (153 nucleotides) under Macrophomina phaseolina. RNAcentral's name for it is "5.8S ribosomal RNA". The stretch from base 1 to 89 matches the Rfam family "5.8S ribosomal RNA", at positions 66 to 154 of the family's 154-position model. From Rfam's summary of the family: 5.8S ribosomal RNA (5.8S rRNA) is a component of the large subunit of the eukaryotic ribosome. The record is from RNAcentral. Lineage: Eukaryota; Fungi; Ascomycota; Dothideomycetes; Botryosphaeriales; Botryosphaeriaceae.